RNAcentral lists this long non-coding RNA (762 nucleotides) under Lactuca sativa (garden lettuce). Its description in RNAcentral is "long non-coding RNA (LSAT_LNC004569)". The record is from RNAcentral. Lineage: Eukaryota; Viridiplantae; Streptophyta; Magnoliopsida; Asterales; Asteraceae.
AUAAUUAUACCUAACACACAUACUCGUAUAGAAAAUAGAUUUAUACGUAGUGAUUUUACUCGUAUAGAACUGAAAUAAGAUUUAUACGUAGCAACUUUCGUUCGUAUGGAAUUACAAAUACUUAUAUUCAUAGUAUAUGAGACUUAUAGGCAUAUACUUAUUUGGUAAGUAAACUUUUAUACCUAGGGUAUAUAUAGUAAACGUUGGAGAGUCAAAAUUAUACUUUCAAAACUAUACUUUUGAACUUGAGAAAAAGUGUUAUUUUUAUAUGGAGUCAAAACCUGUGAACUCACCAAAUUUAUGUUGACGUAUUUUAAAUUGCAUGUGUUUUCAGGAAGUUGAUAACUCUGAUACAAGAAAUGACGUUACACUGCCCGGUGUUUCCGCCGACGGUCGGGGUGUGACAACGACCAAGGGUAUUGUUGUCCACUUAAAUUAAGCAGCAAGAUCUACAGACAACCUCUAAAUGGUUCAAUUUUAGUUGCACUAGAACGUGAUCCCCACUUCCCAAUAUACCCUAGUUAUCAAGAACUUCCAAAGAACUCCUUACUUUAGGUGAGUAAAAAAUUAUUAAGGAGGAAGUCAGAUUUAGAGAUAGAUGCAUAUGUUGUGUCCCAGGUCGGAUCUCUUUCAAUCACGCAGAGGGGAUCACAUAUGACUAACAGAGACAGAGGGAUUAAGAGGUAGAAUGUUGCAUAUGUUGUGUCCCAGGUCGGAUCUCUUUCAAUCACGCAGAGGGGAUCACAUAUGACUAACAGAGAC